CGCAUCUGUGCAUGCAGCAUAUCAAUAAGCGGAGGAAAAGAAACUAACAAGGAUUCCCUCAGUAACGGCGAGUGAAGCGGGAAGAGCUCAAAUUUGAAAUCUUGAAAGGUCACCUUUCACGAAUUGUAGUUUAAAGAAGUGUUUUCUGUUACGAUCGUAAUAUAAGUUCUUUGGAAUAGGACAUCACAGAGGGUGAGAAUCCCGUCUAUGAUUGCGAUUUGUAGCUUUGUGAUACACUUUCAAAGAGUCGGGUUGUUUGGGAAUGCAGCCCAAAACGGGAGGUAAAUUUCUUCUAAGGCUAAAUAUUGGCGAGAGACCGAUAGCGAACAAGUACCGUGAGGGAAAGAUGAAAAGAACUUUGAAAGGAGAGUUAAAUAGUACGUGAAAUUGUCAAAAGGGAAGCGUUUAACACCAGUGUUGUUUUCUGAAAAUCAACCUCUGUUAGCUUUAUGCAUGUUUGUUUAGACCUAAUCAGCUAUCUUGCAUGUUCUAUUGUUUGCAGUGGUGCACUUUUCAGUUUACAGGUCAACAUCAGUUUUUUUUACCGUAAAAAAGUUAAAGAAAGGUAGCUCAUGGCUCCGGUCGUGAGUGUUAUAGUCUUUUUCCUAUGCGGUAGGAGAGACUGAGGUCUGCAGUGUAGGCUAUUUGGCUAGAUACUCAGGUGCUAUGUGAUACCAUUUCAUAAACAACUUGUUGAUUAUGUUUUGUCUAUUGCAUACUCGCUUGUACUAUCAUACCUACGCUUAGGAUGUUGACGAUCAGCUGAGCGCG
Molecule: ribosomal RNA, 771 nt
Filed under: uncultured Neocallimastigales
Lineage: Eukaryota; Fungi; Neocallimastigomycota; Neocallimastigomycetes; Neocallimastigales
Description: partial large subunit ribosomal RNA
Rfam family: Eukaryotic large subunit ribosomal RNA
Source: RNAcentral